ACAAGCGGACAGUCGGAUUGUGAGGCUCCACCCCUUCUGUGGUGGACACGCCUUCUCUUCCCUGUCUCACCCUGCCCUACCAUGCUCGGCGUGCAGUGGGCACCUUGGUAGUUUGGUGGUGUGUAGCAGAAUUCUUUGUGACAUUUGCUAGUGUUACGAAAGAGAGAGAAGGAGAGAAAGGAAGGAAGCGAGAAAGAAAAGCUGUGUUUUUUUUAAUUUUUAGUUUCCUAUACGUCUUUGUUUUUACGAGUUGUGUGUUACGGGUGUUACGGGAAAGAACGUAACGCCUCUGCUUCCGCGCCACUCUUCUCCUCUUAGGUGGCGGCUCAGUGCCUCUUCGCGUUACCAGAACGUUACAAUCCGAGAUUAAGUCUAUUUUUCUGUGUUACGAACGUUAGAACCUCGAGUCGUCGCACAGGAACUUGCGACUUGUUAUAGCCUUGUAUGUGUUACGUGUUGUGUCGGCCAGUGUUAUCAGCCACGGCCGGCCCUCGUUACCCACGCCUCCGUCGAGAGUGAGACCCCCCCCUCCCCCGCGCCCUUUGCCUCCGCCAUGAGCAUCAGGAGGGUCCGGGGCUCCUUCAGGAGUUCCCAGCGGCGGUAUGGGUCCACGGAGGGCAACAAGAAGAUGCGAAGCUCCUCGUGGAUCUUCAAGAACGACGAGUGGCGCCUUGUUUACGAUGAUGGUGACGAGGUGACACUCAUGUACGCCAAACAUGAGGUAA
RNAcentral lists this long non-coding RNA (725 nucleotides) under Penaeus japonicus. RNAcentral's name for it is "uncharacterized LOC122247397". Lineage: Eukaryota; Metazoa; Arthropoda; Malacostraca; Decapoda; Penaeidae. The record is from RNAcentral.